This 351-nucleotide ribosomal RNA is filed under the name Bacteroidia bacterium. RNAcentral's name for it is "partial 23S ribosomal RNA". It matches the Rfam family "Bacterial large subunit ribosomal RNA", at positions 2563 to 2925 of the family's 2925-position model. The record is from RNAcentral. Lineage: Bacteria; Pseudomonadati; Bacteroidota; Bacteroidia.
UCCCAAGGGUUGAGCUGUUCGCUCAUUAAAGUGGCACGCGAGCUGGGUUCAGAACGUCGUGAGACAGUUCGGUCCCUAUCUGUUGUGGGCGUUAGAAGUUUGAGAGGGCCUGACUCUAGUACGAGAGGACCGAGUCGGACGGACCGCUAGUGUACCUGUUGUGGCGCCAGCUGCAGCGCAGGGUAGCUAUGUCCGGUUAAGAUAAGCGCUGAAAGCAUCUAAGCACGAAACUUGCCUCAAGAUAAGACUUCUUUAUAAGGGUCGUCAAAGACUAUGACGUUGAUAGGUUGCAGGUGUAAAGACAGCAAUGUCAAAGCUGAGCAAUACUAAUUACCCGUAAACUUUUUUCCU